This 450-nucleotide ribosomal RNA is filed under the name uncultured Glomeromycotina. RNAcentral's name for it is "SSU rRNA". It matches the Rfam family "Eukaryotic small subunit ribosomal RNA", at positions 569 to 1023 of the family's 1831-position model. The record is from RNAcentral. Lineage: Eukaryota; Fungi; Glomeromycota.
AGCAGCCGCGGUAAUUCCAGCUCCAAUAGCGUAUAUUAAAGUUGUUGCAGUUAAAAAGCUCGUAGUUGAAUUUCGGGGUCAGUAGGCUGGUCAUGCCACUGGUAUGUACUGGUCUCACUGAUUCCUCCUUCCUGAUGAACUGUAAUGCCAUUAAUUUGGUGUUGCAGGGAAUCUGGACUGUUACUUUGAAAAAAUUAGAGUGUUUAAAGCAGGCUAACGCCUGAAUACAUUAGCAUGGAAUAAUGAAAUAGGACGUUCGAUCCUAUUUUGUUGGUUUCUAGGAUUGACGUAAUGAUUAAUAGGGAUAGUUGGGGGCAUUAGUAUUCAAUUGUCAGAGGUGAAAUUCUUGGAUUUAUUGAAGACUAACUACUGCGAAAGCAUUUGCCAAGGAUGUUUUCAUUAAUCAAGAACGAAAGUUAGGGGAUCGAAGACGAUCAGAUACCGUCGUAG